AUUGAACGCUGGCGGCAUGCCUUACACAUGCAAGUCGAACGGCAGCGCGGGCUUCGGCCUGGCGGCGAGUGGCGGACGGGUGAGUAAUGCAUCGGAACGUGCCCAAGAGUGGGGGAUAACGUAGCGAAAGUUACGCUAAUACCGCAUACGUACUGAGGUAGAAAGCGGGGGAUCGAAAGACCUCGCGCUCAUGGAGCGGCCGAUGUCGGAUUAGCUAGUUGGCGGGGUAAAAGCCCAACAAGGCGACGAUCCGUAGCUGGUCUGAGAGGACGACCAGCCACACUGGGACUGAGACACGGCCCAGACUCCUACGGGAGGCAGCAGUGGGGAAUCUUGGACAAUGGGGGAAACCCUGAUCCAGCAAUGCCGCGUGUGGGAUGAAGGCCCUCGGGUUGUAAACCACUUUUGGCAGGAAAGAAAUCGCCUGUGCUAAUACCACGGGCGGAUGACGGUACCUGCAGAAUAAGCACCGGCUAACUACGUGCCAGCAGCCGCAGUAA
RNAcentral lists this ribosomal RNA (500 nucleotides) under uncultured bacterium. RNAcentral describes it as "partial 16S ribosomal RNA". It matches the Rfam family "Bacterial small subunit ribosomal RNA", at positions 29 to 523 of the family's 1533-position model. The record is from RNAcentral.